This 253-nucleotide ribosomal RNA is filed under the name uncultured bacterium. RNAcentral describes it as "partial 16S ribosomal RNA". It matches the Rfam family "Archaeal small subunit ribosomal RNA", at positions 474 to 727 of the family's 1478-position model. The record is from RNAcentral.
UACCAGCACCCCGAGUGGUCGGGACGUUUAUUGGGCCUAAAGCAUCCGUAGCCGGUUCUACAAGUCUUCCGUUAAAUCCAACUGCUUAACAGGUGGGCUGCGGAAGAUACUAUAGAGCUAGGAGGCGGGAGAGGCAAGCGGUACUCGAUGGGUAGGGGUAAAAUCCGUUGAUCCAUUGAAGACCACCAGUGGCGAAGGCGGCUUGCCAGAACGCGCUCGACGGCGAGGGAUGAAAGCUGGGGGAGCAAACCGG